AUUGAACGCUGGCGGCAGGCUUAACACAUGCAAGUCGAGCGGGGUGAUGGUGCUUGCACUAUCACUUAGCGGCGGACGGGUGAGUAAUGCUUAGGAAUCUGCCUAUUAGUGGGGGACAACAUCUCGAAAGGGAUGCUAAUACCGCAUACGUCCUACGGGAGAAAGCAGGGGAUCACUUGUGACCUUGCGCUAAUAGAUGAGCCUAAGUCGGAUUAGCUAGUUGGUGGGGUAAAGGCCUACCAAGGCGACGAUCUGUAGCGGGUCUGAGAGGAUGAUCCGCCACACUGGGACUGAGACACGGCCCAGACUCCUACGGGAGGCAGCAGUGGGGAACAUUGGACAAUGGGGGAACCCUGAUCCAGCCAUGCCGCGUGUGUGAAGAAGGCCUUAUGGUUGUAAAGCACUUUAAGCGAGGAGGAGGCUCUUUUAGUUAAUACCCAAGAUGAGUGGACGUUACUCGCAGAAUGAGCACCGGCUAACUCUGUGCCAGCAGCCGCGGUAA
Molecule: ribosomal RNA, 502 nt
Filed under: uncultured bacterium
Lineage: Bacteria
Description: partial 16S ribosomal RNA
Rfam family: Bacterial small subunit ribosomal RNA
Source: RNAcentral